Molecule: ribosomal RNA, 425 nt
Filed under: uncultured cyanobacterium
Lineage: Bacteria; Bacillati; Cyanobacteriota
Description: bacterial SSU rRNA
Rfam family: Bacterial small subunit ribosomal RNA
Source: RNAcentral
UGGGGAAUUUUCCGCAAUGGGCGAAAGCCUGACGGAGCAACGCCGCGUGAGGGAUGAAGGCCUCUGGGCUGUAAACCUCUUUUAUCUAGGAAGAAGAUCUGACGGUACUUGAUGAAUAAGCCACGGCUAAUUCCGUGCCAGCAGCCGCGGUAAUACGGGGGUGGCAAGCGUUAUCCGGAAUUAUUGGGCGUAAAGCGUCCGCAGGCGGUCUUGUAAGUCUGUCGUUAAAGCGUGGAGCUUAACUCCAUUUCAGCGAUGGAAACUGCAAGACUAGAGUGUGGUAGGGGCAGAGGGAAUUCCCGGUGUGGCGGUGAAAUGCGUAGAUAUCGGGAAGAACACCAGUGGCGAAGGCGCUCUGCUGGGCCAUAACUGACGCUCAUGGACGAAAGCCAGGGGAGCGAAAGGGAUUAGAUACCCCUGUAGUC